RNAcentral lists this ribosomal RNA (424 nucleotides) under uncultured prokaryote. RNAcentral's name for it is "bacterial SSU rRNA". It matches the Rfam family "Bacterial small subunit ribosomal RNA", at positions 355 to 796 of the family's 1533-position model. The record is from RNAcentral.
UAGGGAAUAUUGCGCAAUGGACGAAAGUCUGACGCAGCUAUGCCGCGUGUGUGAUGAAGGCCUUCGGGUUGUAAAGCACUGUCGGGAGGGACGAUAAUGACGGUACCUCGCAAGAAAGCGCCGGCUAACUCCGUGCCAGCAGCCGCGGUAAUACGGAGGGCGCAAGCGUUGCUCGGAAUCACUGGGCGUAAAGCGAACGCAGGCGGAUUUUUAAGUCGGAUGUGAAAGCCCCGGGCUCAACCCGGGAAUUGCAUUCGAAACUGAAAGUCUUGAGUCCGAGAGAGGGUGGUGGAAUUCCUGGUGUAGAGGUGAAAUUCGUUGAUAUCAGGAGGAACAUCGGCGGCGAAGGCGGCCACCUGGCUCGGUACUGACGCUCAUGUUCGAAAGCGUGGGGAGCAAACAGGAUUAGAUACCCCCGUAGUCC